This 1436-nucleotide long non-coding RNA is filed under the name Macaca fascicularis (crab-eating macaque). Its description in RNAcentral is "lncRNA (ENSMFAG00000059460.1)". The record is from RNAcentral. Lineage: Eukaryota; Metazoa; Chordata; Mammalia; Primates; Cercopithecidae.
UCUUGUUGUGGUUACUUUUAUCCUUAGUAUAUAUCACACCAAGAUACACAAAUUACUGGGUUUUAAAAAAACUUAAAACAGUCUGCUUAGCUCAGUGGGGAUGGGGGCACUUCUCAGGGCACUUAGGGUCUCAGAGCCACUUCUCUCAGGCUUGAGGCCUGACGUUCAAUGUGAAAAGCAAUAAAAAGAAAAAAAAGACAAAUAAAUAAAUAAAUAGCUCUGAAUGGUUUCUGAAUACAGCAGUUAGGUUCAUUUUUCAUUUUAUUCUGAUUUUUAGAAAAUUCAUUUUAAAACUCAAAAGCAAAAUAAAUUAAGAGAACGUGAAAUUGUAAAUAAGAACAUCAAUAUAACACACUGUAAAUGUAUACACUUGGUGUCUCUUUUCUUAGCUUUUUUAAAAGAUGUAAUAUUAUAUAAUGUAAUUAUAAUGAUAUUCUGUUGUAUUUGUAACAUAUGAUGUAAUAUGUGUAACAACAAUAGCACAAAAACAGAAAGCAAAAAUACGGCUAUAUAGAAUAACAUUUCUAUAUCUCACUAAACAUAAGUAUAAUUCUGAAGUAGACUGUGAUACAUUAGUAUGUGUUUGGGAAGUCCUACAGCAACCACUAGUAGAAUAAAUGUUUAUAAUACAGUGAAAAAGAUGAGAUAAAUUAAAAAAUCACACUAAAAAUUAUUCAUUUUUCUAUAAAAGACAGCUGAAAAGAAAGAAUAAAAAUGCAUAAUAUAGAAAACAGAUGUGAAAUGGUAGACAUAAAUCCAACUAUAAUAAUAGUAUUAAAUAUGAAUGAAUUAAUCCAAUCAAAAAGCAUAGAUUACCAGGCUCGAUUUAAAAAAUAAAUUGUAGCUAUGUUCUGUCUGCAGGAGAUACACUUUAGAUUCAGAUACAAUUAGAUUGAAAGUAAAAGAGUGACAAAAGAUACAUCAUGCAAAAAGCAACUAUGAGAAAGCUAAAGUGGCUAUAGUAAUAUCAGACAAAGUAGACUUUACAACAAAAAUGUUAUUAGAGAAUAAGAAAUGUUUUAUAAUGAUAAAAGGAAUAAUCCAUCAGGAAGAUAAAACAUUUACAAAGAUAUAUGAACUUAACAACUGAGCCAUAAAACACGUCAAAUAAAAACUAAUAAAAAUGAAAAAGGAAAUAGACAAUUGGACAAUAAUUGGAGACUCCAAUACCCCACUUUCAAUAAUGACCCCAUUACCCUACUUGCAAUUAAAAAAACAACACUAGGCAGAAUAUCAAAAAGUAAACAGAAGAUGUGAACAACACUACAAAUCGCCUGAAUCUAACAGAAAUCUAUAGAACACUCUACCCUACAGUAGCAGAAUACACGUUUUUCUCAAGUGCUCAUGGAACACACUCUAGAAUAAAGUAUAUGCUAGACCACAAAACAAGCCUUAAUAAAUAUACAGGUAUUGGAAUUAAAUAAAUUUUGUUUUCC